Carassius gibelio (silver crucian carp) is the source of this 1382-nucleotide RNA transcript. It is a transcript of the gene named cytosolic 5'-nucleotidase 1B, with no coding region annotated. The record is from RefSeq and is a predicted model, not a curated record. Lineage: Eukaryota; Metazoa; Chordata; Actinopteri; Cypriniformes; Cyprinidae. The transcript is spliced from 8 exons.
GCGGAUUACAAUGAAAGUGAAUGACAGCAGUAGGCUACUAAUAAUAGUGCACUUGGUUUGCAGACUGUCACUGUGUACACAAUGCAGCUUGAAGCAGGCGGGAAGUAUAUAGGUAAAGGAGGGAUAUUUUGAAGAAUAUGGACGAUGAAAAGAAUUGCACCGGUCCUCUUAUAAUAGCGCUGCAGUAUAAUGACCUGUUUGACUUGGACUCGAUCUCCACGUCCACAAACACAGAUGAUGCACUACCCAAAGGAAGAGCAGUCACUUUUAUUAAGGCAGUGCAAAUAGUGAACGAGAGACUUGUGGAACAGAAAGAGACAGAGUCUUUGCUUUUUGAAGUGAUCCUCAUCGCAAAGGAGUGCUCUGAAGAAAUCAAAAUGAAGAUAGUUGAGAGUGUGAAGUAUUAUGGUCUAGAAAUAGGCAAAUUUUUCUUUUGCAAAAAGGAAGAACUCAUAAAUACUCUUCAGUCAAACAAAGUUAAGCUGUUCCUCUCUACUGACAGGGAUGAUGUCUGUGAAGCUCUGCAUACAGGAAUUCCAGCUGCUUUGCUGUACGAUCAGUGUGAUGAUCACGUCCUCAAGGUCAUUAUCUCAGGUGAUGCUAUCGGUUUCACUGAGGAUUCACUUGAUAGUCUUUCAGAUUUUGGAUUCAGUGAAACCCAAAUAGAGACCUUCAAAGCAGCAAAGAUCUGCAUGAAGGAGUUUGCCGUUCUGAUCGGUCAGAUGAGGAGGAGGUUUGGGCGAGAGAACAGCCCUCUCUGCAUUUGUGUUUUAACAGCAUGGGGCUCUACGAACGUCUGUGCAUCUGCCCUGAAAACUCUCCGGGGAUGGGGUCUGGAUGUGGACGAGGCGUUUUGUCUGGCUGGAGCUCCCUGCAGCCCCAUACUAGCUGUGGUUAAACCCCACAUACUCUGGGAUUGUGGCCUUCACAACAUGAGGGACUUGGCCACACAUUCCUGAGAGUUCGUAACACUAAGCUUGUGGUUUACAACACAAGUGUGGCUUACCUUUCAUUUCAUUCAGGCUUGACGUCAGUAAAGUCAGAAAGAAACAGCAUAUUUCUACACUCGACAGAGUGCAUGAGUCAACUGCUGCAACUAUAAUCUUUCACGGCACUGACGAAGCAGGAGCACACCAAAACUGCAGUGUUUCUGAAUCACCCUCAGCCUUAUGUAUUUUACAGGAGAAGACUGUCCAACAUGGACUUGAUGUGGAAGUGAAAAGUUACUUGGCACUGCACUAAAUUAAACCCAGAUGUGGUCUGGCUAUUAAUGAACCUUGUAAAAUGGGCUUGUUACUCAUUAUGGUUGAGGUCUUGUCUUCAUUCAUGUUGAGUCCUAACAGUAUUCAUACUGUGUGGAGCAUAACCAUGGGGCUUUAGAU